RNAcentral lists this ribosomal RNA (492 nucleotides) under uncultured bacterium. RNAcentral describes it as "partial 16S ribosomal RNA". It matches the Rfam family "Bacterial small subunit ribosomal RNA", at positions 29 to 507 of the family's 1533-position model. The record is from RNAcentral.
AGUGAACGCUGGCGGUAGGCCUAACACAUGCAAGUCGAACGGCAGCACAGUAAGAGCUUGCUCUUACGGGUGGCGAGUGGCGGACGGGUGAGGGGUACCUCCGAAUCUACUUUUUCGAGGGGGCUAACGUAGGGAAACUUACGCUAAUACCGCAUACGACCUACGGGUGGAAUCAGGGGAUCUUCGGCCCUUGCGCGAUUGUAUGUGCCGAUGUCGGAUUAGCUAGUUGGCGGGGUAAAGGCCCACCAAGGCGACGAUCCGUAGCUGGUCUGAGAGGAUGAUCAGCCACACGGGAACUGAGACACGGUCCAGACUCCUACGGGAGGCAGCAGUGGGGAAUAUUGGACAAUGGGCGAAAGCCUGAUCCAGCCAUGCCGCGUGGGUGAAGAAGGUCUUCGGAUUGUAAAGCCCUUUUGGUGGGGAAGAAAAGCAGUAGGUUAAUACCCCGCUGUUCUGACGUUACCCAAAGAAUAAGCACCGGCUAACUUCGUG